RNAcentral lists this ribosomal RNA (328 nucleotides) under uncultured eukaryote. RNAcentral's name for it is "partial 18S ribosomal RNA". It matches the Rfam family "Eukaryotic small subunit ribosomal RNA", at positions 1470 to 1796 of the family's 1831-position model. The record is from RNAcentral.
CCCUUAGAUGUCCUGGGCCGCACGCGCGUUACACUGAUGCAUUCAACGAGCUUAUAACCUUGCCCGAGAGGCCUGGGCAAUCUUGUUAACGUGCAUCGUGAUGGGGAUAGAUUAUUGAAAUUAUUAAUCUUGAACGAGGAAUUCCUAGUAAACGCAGAUCAUCAAUCUGCAUUGAUUACGUCCCUGCCCUUUGUACACACCGCCCGUCGCACCUACCGAUUGGAUGGUCCGGUGAAGCCUCGGGAUUGUGGUUCUUGCCGCUUUAUUGUGGCGUGACCGCGAGAACUUGUCUAAACCUUAUCAUCUAGAGGAAGGUGAAGUCGUAACA